RNAcentral lists this ribosomal RNA (658 nucleotides) under Terrabacter sp. RNAcentral describes it as "bacterial SSU rRNA". It matches the Rfam family "Bacterial small subunit ribosomal RNA", at positions 331 to 999 of the family's 1533-position model. Lineage: Bacteria; Bacillati; Actinomycetota; Actinomycetes; Micrococcales; Intrasporangiaceae. The record is from RNAcentral.
CCAGACUCCUACGGGAGGCAGCAGUGGGGAAUAUUGCACAAUGGGCGAAAGCCUGAUGCAGCGACGCCGCGUGAGGGAUGACGGCCUUCGGGUUGUAAACCUCUUUCAGCAGGGAAGAAGCGCAAGUGACGGUACCUGCAGAAGAAGCACCGGCUAACUACGUGCCAGCAGCCGCGGUAAUACGUAGGGUGCGAGCGUUGUCCGGAAUUAUUGGGCGUAAAGAGCUUGUAGGUGGUUUGUCGCGUCUGCUGUGAAAAUCCGGGGCUCAACCCCGGACUUGCAGUGGGUACGGGCAGACUAGAGUGUGGUAGGGGAGACUGGAAUUCCUGGUGUAGCGGUGGAAUGCGCAGAUAUCAGGAGGAACACCGAUGGCGAAGGCAGGUCUYUGGGCCAUUACUGACACUGAGAAGCGAAAGCAUGGGGAGCGAACAGGAUUAGAUACCCUGGUAGUCCAUGCCGUAAACGUUGGGAACUAGGUGUGGGUCUCAUUCCACGAGAUCCGUGCCGCAGCUAACGCAUUAAGUUCCCCGCCUGGGGAGUACGGCCGCAAGGCUAAAACUCAAAGGAAUUGACGGGGGCCCGCACAAGCGGCGGAGCAUGCGGAUUAAUUCGAUGCAACGCGAAGAACCUUACCAAGGCUUGACAUACACCGGAAUCA